This 493-nucleotide ribosomal RNA is filed under the name uncultured bacterium. RNAcentral describes it as "partial 16S ribosomal RNA". It matches the Rfam family "Bacterial small subunit ribosomal RNA", at positions 28 to 523 of the family's 1533-position model. The record is from RNAcentral.
GACGAACGCUGGCGGCGUGCUUAACACAUGCAAGUCGAACGCUGAAGCCCUUUCGGGGGUGGAUGAGUGGCGAACGGGUGAGUAACACGUGGGUAAUCUGCCCUGUACUUCGGGAUAAGCCUUGGAAACGGGGUCUAAUACCGGAUAGGACCUGUCCUCGCAUGGGGGUGGGUGGAAAGUUCCGGCGGUAUGGGAUGAGCCCGCGGCCUAUCAGCUUGUUGGUGGGGUAGUGGCCUACCAAGGCGACGACGGGUAGCCGGCCUGAGAGGGUGACCGGACAGAAUGGGACUGCGACACGGCCCAGACUCCUACGGGAGGCAGCAGUGGGGAAUCUUGCGCAAUGGGCGAAAGCCUGACGCAGCAGCGCCGCGUGGGGGAUGACGGCCUUCGGGUUGUAAACCUCUUUCGACAUCGACGAAGGGGCCCUGUUGUGGGGUUUUGACGGUAGGUGUAGAAGAAGCACCGGCUAACUACGUGCCAGCCGCCGCAGUAA